Molecule: long non-coding RNA, 6733 nt
Organism: Macrobrachium nipponense
Lineage: Eukaryota; Metazoa; Arthropoda; Malacostraca; Decapoda; Palaemonidae
Exons: 2
Source: RefSeq, a predicted model, not a curated record
GCCCUCCUCCACACUCGACGGAUCGAGAGAGGAAAAGGACUCCGCUACCCCCCCCGCAGGGGAAGGCGCGAAACGUGGGGGCUGGCCGGGGGGCAGGAAAGAGGACGAAGUGUCCGUCACCAAAGGAGUCACUGGACUUUCCGAUGACUUCUUGGCCGGCCUAAGUCUCUUCCUGCCCUCGUACAGCACCCACUGCGCCUCGGACCAAUUAACACAUAUGACACAAGGUUCGUUGCGGGAGCACUCUCGCCCCCGGCAACGAGUACAAACCUCAUGGGGGUCCACGUCAACGAAUGACCUGAACCCUCCACAUCUACGCCCCUCCAGCCCGGGACACACUCUACGGGCGACUGGAGGGCGCGGUGAAAUCUCCAUUUCUUCCAAUUCACUCAUUGCAAGAUCAAUAGAAUUGUAAAAGUACUUACAGUCACUCCUGAUUUAUACAGAAAGAGAGGUAAAUACUCAAAGUCAAAGCAAACGACAAAGCGGGCAGAGCGAUGGCGAACACGUCCUUCCCACAUACGGCCGAAAGCAAAAGUGAUUUGUUUACCUCCCAGUCGCGCGGCGCGCGACGAUCGGACAAGCAGUUAACUACCGUUCUCCCCUUGUUCGAAGCUUACGACCGUUCCAGCUGCCGCUAGCUACUUCCUAUUGUUAAAGGACCGAGGGUUUGUAUUACGUAUCGGAACAAAUGAAGUUCCAGUUCUGUAGUAUUAAGGAAAUAAAGUAGGUUAAAGAAAAGUCGAGUCACAUUGGAUAACCUCCAAAUCUUUUCCCGUCAUUCUAUCCCAAUUGUGUAAAUUUCAACAGCUCUUACAAUCUGAUCUCUGAAGCACAUUCCCAGAUUCAGGAUAACUCUUUCAAUCUUCGCAUCUUAUCUUUUGAAAGAAGUGGAAACAGUAUUGGAAAACUGCAGUACCCUCGGUCCUUUGGCAGCUGCUGGCAUGGUAUUGGAGGAAGAAGCAUAAGAGACUGUCAUUUCCGUCUCUUGGCCUUGUUGUAAGGAAGUCGAGUUUUUGAGGAUCGUGGGAGGAACAUUGUUGGAUGGGCAGUGGUUGUGGUUUUAUUGCAUCAAAAUUGGUGACACGUUGUGAUGGUAAUUGCUUCAUAGCAAAGAAAGAUAAAGGAAAGGAGAACGCAUUUUCGAGAAGUUCGGCAGCAAGGAGGCUUUCGCGCCCGUGUUGGAGGCGCCUGUUCUCGCGGCUGUUCUGGAAUCGUCGGGCGUGUUGUGGAGUGCAACACACGCCUAAGUGGCUGGAGAAAUGCAGUAAGAGAGAUCGUAGAAGAGAGACACCAGUUAGUCACAGAGAUAUAUCCUCAGUACGAGCCACUGGUCAGAAUAUCAGGAGAAAUCAGCAGCAGCAGAGAUUAUCCGUGAGAGAUAAGAGAGAAAGGGACCGACAAAGGAUCAAAAGUAGAGUUGUUCGAGAGUUCGAGAGUUGAUUGGAUACUGGUCUAAUCGUCUUCAGGAGUGGACGACCGAGUUGUCUCUACGUUGAGCAGACUUCGGAGAAGAAAAGGGGGGAGUUCCUGCCUUACAAGUAGACUAUUUUCUGCAAUACGGAGUCAAGAGGACGUCUGCAAUUGCCGCUCUCCUUUUGUGAAGCCACCGCUGCGAUUCACUAAACCGUCCCGCAAGUAUUUGAAUUACCUCACUGUUCCCCCAGUUCAUGCAGUGUAAGAUUCUAUCUUUUUAUGUAAAUAAGAGAUACCAUUCUGCAUUUACCUAUGUUAGUAAGCUUGUAAAUAAACCUUUGUUGUGUUAGUGUUUCUUUCUAUAUUCGUAUCCCCAGUUUCAACUGUUGGUGUUGAAAUUUUUUUUUAUUUAUUUCAUAUCAAACCUGAAGCGGACCUCUCUCAGAGGCCGUAACAUUGUGUCGACCCUUGCCAGGAUAUUUUGACACCGUAACAUUGUGGCGACCUUGCCAGGAUAUUUCGACACCGUAACAUUGUGGCGACCUUGCCUAAGCUACCAACACUUUAACAGUUUGAAACAGGAAGGAUAUAGAAAGAAUCAGAAUGAGUGAGAUGGUGAAAGAGUUUAUCGAGUCUGGUAAGCUACUAGGUCUACAGGGGAACGAUCUCCGUGAGUAUGUUGAAAAGAAAGAAAGAGAAAAGUAUGAGAGAGAUGAAAGAGCGGCUGAGAGAGAGGAAAGAGCAGCUGAGAGGGAAGUGCAGCAAGCGAGAGAAGCAAUGAAAAUGCAGCAAGAGAGAGAAAUGUUGGUAAUGAAGCAGGAAGAAAGAGAAAAAGUACGUAUGCAUGAGCAGGAAGAAAGAGAUAAAGUACGUAUACAUGAUCAGGAGGAGAGAGAGAAAGAGCGUAUGCAUGAGUUAGAAAUUGCUCGGUUAAGAAAAAGUACUCGUAACAGUCGGUCAGACGAGAACGAAAAUGGAGCUGAUACGUAAGGUAUGAGUGCAGUGCUAAAAUUAGUACCAAAGUUUGAUGAGGAGGAUGUUACGACAUAUUUCAUGUGUUUUGAGAAGUUAAUGGAACGAGUAGGUUCUCCUAAAGAAACGUGGACUUUAUAUUUGCAGUCAGUUUUGAGUGGUAGGGCGCUUACUGUGUAUAGUUGCAUGUCUAAGGAGGAAUGUGAUAAUUACGAUAUCGUGAAAGAAACUGUUCUUACCGCGUACAGGUUAGUACCGGAGGCGUACCGUAAGAAAUUUAGAAAUUUGAGAAAGGAUGAAAAUAUUGCGUAUGUAGAAUACGGUAAGAAGUUAGAUAGGCUGUUUUUUUAUUGGUUAACUUCUGCUAAAGUUGAGGAUUUUGAUAGUUUGAAGAACUUAGUGUUGUUAGAACACUUCAAAGAUAACGUAUCCCCUGAGAUUUAAGCUUUAUAUAGAGGAUAGGCGAGAAGUAUCUUUUGCAGGAGCAACUAGGCUAGCUGACGAAUAUAGUCUAACUCAUAAUUUGAGUGUUAGUAAGAAACGAAAUGAUCCUUUGUCUGGUAGAGUACAAAGCAGCAAAGGUUUCAGUCCUAGUAAUAGCAAUGCGAGUAAAAGUGACUAUUCCUGUUAUACAUGCGGAAAACCUGGUCAUACGUCUAAGGUUUGUAAGAGUAAAGUGGCAUCUAGUGGCUCAGAAUUAACUUGUUUCCGAUGUAAUGGAAAAGGGCAUUUAGCGAGAAAUUGUGCAGUAGAAAGGAAGGACGGUAAGAAACCAGUAUCUCUAGUUAACCUUUCGUCAAGUAGGAAUGAUGUGAUGAGAGAAACUAGGAGUUUUUGGUGAAUUUCUGUCGGAAGGCAUAGUUUCCUCUCUUGGAGGAGUACAUUCGAGAGAAGUAGUCUUGCUUCGAGACACAGGCGCUGCCGUCUCACUAAUUAGGGAAGAGAGUGUGCCGAAAAGGGAGAAAUCAAUAUGGAAGAGAAAGUCAUGUUAGGUGGAUUUCCUAACACUUGUGUUCUUUGUCCUUUGUUGAAGUUGAAUUUAGAAAGUCAGGUAGUGUCAGGAGAAGUAAAACUUGCAGUUGUAGACAGUUUGCCUGUCGAAGGCGUUGACAUUAUUGUCGGUAAUGACUUAGCUUUAUCCAAGAAUGUGAAUCCUGUUGUGAGGAAUAUUCCAGUGCCUGAAAUGGUAGUAACUAGGUCGGGUUUAGAUACAGACAUAGACUACGAUGUGUGGCUGAGAGACCUAACUCUAUCGUUGACAGUGAUAGCCAAAGGGAAGGCGUAGCUGUCGAGAAUAACGUUGUAAAUGUACCUGUAUCUAGUCCUAGUUACAGUGAUGAAUUAGGCCGUAACAUUUUGGAUAAGGAUGAGCUAGUCAAGUUGCAGAGAGAGGAUGAGAAACUAACCCGAAUUUUUUAAUGUGAGCUGGAUGAUGAUCUCGAUGAUGUGAGUAAGGAAACUUUUUGUGUAAAGGAUGAAGAUUUGUGUCAUGUUUGUCCUAAGUCAGGUAGUGAAGGGGGAAUCACAGAAAAAUUAGUAGUUCUUAGGAAGUUUUGUGAGCUCGUUUUGAAGUUAGCACACGAUGAGCAAGGACAUUUAGGAGUAAAUAAAACUUUCAAGUGUAUUAGUAGGGCGUACUUUUGGCCUAAAAUGAAAAAUGAUGUAAAGAGGUAUGUUUUAAGCAGUCUUGAAUAUCAAAUUGCCGGGAAACCGAUUCAAGUAAUUCCUAGAGUUCAGUUGUGUAAUAUUCCUUCAGUAGGCGAAUCUUUAGAGAAUGAAUUUAUAAAUAUGUUCGUACCUUUGCCUAGAACUAAGGGUAGAGAUGUUUGGCAGCUAGAGGAGGAGAAUGGAAGUGUUGGCACUUAGCGAAAGAAAACACAAGAGGAAGUCAAGGGGAAACUGAAGGAAGACAUGAUCUUAGAGCAAACAAGAGAAGUUUGUGUGUAAGAGAUAAAGUUUUAGUACUAGUCCAGAAAGAAGGUUCCUCUUUAUCUCAAUUUCGAAGGUCCUUUUUCAGUUUUAGAGAAGAGGGGAAAUAUACAUUAUAGAAUUAAUGUGGGUAAGAGUAAAGGCAAUGAAUGUAAAUUUGCUUCAGAAUUAUAAACAACGCCCCGUGCUGUGGCCUCCGCCCUUGUAACAGUGUUACGGAGUGAGAUUAGUUUUGAGAAAAACACAAGAGGUGUUUUAGUAUUUAUAAGUCUUAAUCAGAGUUCAGAAAAUGGAAAUAGUAAGAGAGAAGGAUAAUGUUAUAGCAGAUAGCCUCUCUAGUUUUUUCAGAAUGAGUAGCCUAAUGACUGUUUUCUGUUUUGGCACGAGUGGUUGAGUGGAUGAAAAAGUAUUAAAGCUUUAUGCAGAAUUGUUUCCCCGCUGUUUAAUCCUUGCUUCUCUUUAGAAAAAAAAAUAAAAUCAGAUUUCAUUUUUUUUCUCUUUUGGGGGGGCGUGUGAUGGUAAUUGCUUCAUAGCAAAGAAAGAUAAUGGAAAGGAGAGCGCAUUUUCGAGAAGUUCGGCAGCAAGGAGGCUUUCGCGCACGUGUUGGAGGCGCCUGUUCUCGUGGCUGUUCUGGAAUCGUCGGGCGUGUUGUGGAGUGCAACACACGCCUAAGUGGCGGGAGAAAUGCUGCGAUUUCUGAUGCAAUACCUCGUCUAGAUUCAUCUAAUAACUUCCGGAAACCUCGCGAGCCUGUGACGCUCGCCGUAGGCUCUGCCCCCAGAGUGCCGUCCGUAUAAAUACGACGGUUGUAGCAGCAGCAAGAGAGAUCAUAAAAGAGAGACACCAGUUAGUCACAGAGAUAUCCUCAGUACGAGCCACUGGUCAGAAUAUCAGUGAGAAAGCAGCAGCAGCAGAGAUUAUCCGUGAGAGAUAAGAGAGAAAGGGACCGACAAAGGAUCAAAAGUAGAGUUGUUCGAGAGUUGGUUGGAUACUGGUCUAAUCGUCUUCAGGAGUGGACGACCGAGUUGUCUCUACGUUGAGCAGACUUCGGAGAAGAAAAGGGGGGAGUUCCUGCCUUACAAGUAGACUAUUUUCUGCAAUACGUAGUCAAGAGGACGUCUGCAGUUGCCGCUCUCAUUUUGUGAAGCCACCGCUGCGAUUCACUAAAUUGUCCCGCAAGUAUUUAAAUUACCUCACUGUUCCCCCAGUUCAUGCAGUGUAAGAUUCUAUCUUUUUAUGUAAAUAGGAGAUACCAUUCUGCAUUUACCUAUGCGGUGUUAGUGUUUCUUUCUAUAUUCGUAUCCCCAGUUUCAACUGUUGGUGUUGAAUUUUAUUUUUUAUUUAUUUCAUAUCGAACCUGAAGCGAACCUCUCUCAGAGGCCGUAACAUUGUGUCAACCCUUGCCAGGAUAUUUCGACACCGUAACACACGUGUUGUCUGGUUUGUUGUUGUGGUACUCUGUAGACAGGGGAUUUUGGCAGAGAAGGAAGCUAAUUGGCAAGGGACCUCUGGUAGUGGUUUCCACUCGCUCUUUUACUAUACCAACACCUGUAUUAAAAGGUGAGCGCGCCAGUUAUUCUGGCACUAUUGUUUCUCUGGUAUAUAUAUCAAUAUUUAUGCCUUAGAAAUGAGGAUCAAGGAUGCAUUUCACUGGGUGACACAGGUCAUUGCCCAGAAAUAGAUUUUUCCUCCGUCAAAAUCCCGUUUUUAUAAGCAACCAAGGGAAAGGGGUGCCCUGACAUGGUGUAACAACGUAUAUUAAGCAAAGAAAUUUGUUCCAUACCAACUUGAACACCUGAGGAAAUAUCUGGUUUAAAAAAAAAUUUUUAAAUAAUCCAACAGUAAGCCUAACCCAAUAGUUUUUAUUGCAGAAAGGGUUUGGACAGCCCUUCCUCUCUCCGGAAGUCUCAAGGCUAUGGUUAUUAUUCAUGACACUGGUUCCUUUGUGCCAAACGGCUACAGUUUGUCCUCAGAUAUUUGAAAACUUUUAGUGGUCUCUGUAUAAAAAUAAAACUUUUUAUCAUUUUAAGGUUUAACUACUAAUCUCAGCCAGCUGGAAGGAAUUGCCCUGGUAGAUCGAUCUUGCACACCUGAAAUCGUCUCCCAUUUCCCAGCAACCAACCUGACAGAGGGCAUCCAUGAUAGGUUUAAUUUCUUGUUUGAAACAAAGGACAAGUGGACACUUAAUGAGAUAAGGCCUUACAUUGAAGACUUGGCCACAAAUGCCACCCCUGUUAGUGCUCUCCUUACCAAGUACGCCAGAGCAUCAACAAAGGACGGCAUAAAGUACUACACGGGGAGACACAUGAAGUGAUCGUUAAUCAUUGUAUUGUUCAAGGUACGAAAUUAUCGUUAAUUACUUUGCAGUACCAAUUACUUCAUUUGAACUGGGUAGGACAAUAAAUUCAAGUACAAA